This 253-nucleotide ribosomal RNA is filed under the name uncultured bacterium. RNAcentral describes it as "partial 16S ribosomal RNA". It matches the Rfam family "Bacterial small subunit ribosomal RNA", at positions 524 to 776 of the family's 1533-position model. The record is from RNAcentral.
UACGAAGGGGGCUGGCGUUGCUCGGAAUCACUGGGCGUAAAGGGUGCGUAGGCGGGUCUUUAAGUCAGGGGUGAAAUCCUGGAGCUCAACUCCAGAACUGCCUUUGAUACUGAAGAUCUUGAGUUCGGGAGAGGUGAGUGGAACUGCGAGUGUAGAGGUGAAAUUCGUAGAUAUUCGCAAGAACACCAGUGGCGAAGGCGGCUCACUGGCCCGAUACUGACGCUGAGGCACGAAAGCGUGGGGAGCAAACAGG